UCUACAGGUCUGGGAAGUAUGACCUGGACUUCAAGUCUCCUGAUGACCCCAGCAGGUACAUCUCACCUGACCAGCUGGCCGACCUGUACAAGUCCUUCAUCAAGGACUACCCAGUGGUGUCUAUCGAAGAUCCGUUUGACCAGGAUGACUGGGGAGCAUGGCAGAAGUUCACAGCCAGUGCAGGAAUCCAGGUGGUUGGGGAUGAU
Cebus imitator (Panamanian white-faced capuchin) is the source of this 206-nucleotide long non-coding RNA. RefSeq lists it as uncharacterized. The transcript has 2 exons. Lineage: Eukaryota; Metazoa; Chordata; Mammalia; Primates; Cebidae. The record is from RefSeq and is a predicted model, not a curated record.